RNAcentral lists this long non-coding RNA (755 nucleotides) under Anas platyrhynchos platyrhynchos (common mallard). RNAcentral describes it as "lncRNA (ENSAPLG00000020478.1)". Lineage: Eukaryota; Metazoa; Chordata; Aves; Anseriformes; Anatidae. The record is from RNAcentral.
AUGUCACGAAGGCCAUUGCGCAAAAACAAAAGUGCAGAGAAGUGGAAGAGAGAAAAUCUUCAGUUCCAUUUUCAGUCUGUUAAAGACCUGGGACUGGGGUCUCCUCUGUGUGGCAAGUGGACACACAGAGCUGCUUUCAAAAGGAGUCACCACAAGGCCUCAGUCUGGCUCGCCUCCACAAAGGUCAUGCCUGAGAAGAACCAUGAGGCCACCUCUCCACGUGGAAACCGUGAGUGUGACCAUGGCUGGUAUAGUGUCCUCCCAGCUCCCCAUGGGCUGUGGGGCUGGAGACCAGUGUGCUUUCAGCAACAGCAGGGUUGUCUCCUUCUGAGCACACUGGGAGGGCUCAUGCCCACGUUGUGAGGGCCUGCUGACAUCUGUGUUCCCAUCCACUCAGCACUGGGGUAGCUGUUUAUCUACCACCCUUCAGCAAUGAGGUUGAGGGGCGUACCUCAGAAAGGCAGCACAUGGUGCUUUCUGCAGCACUGAGUGAAGGGGAGAAACUUAAAGCCAAUGGGAAGGAUUUGCAUUAGCUCUGCUGCCAAGAAGUCUUCCCUAAACUCUCUCCUUCCAUAAUAUCUGGGUCAAAAUAAUACCGACUCUACUAAAUCUUCAAUUUUCUUGCUUUUUGUGUAUCAACACUAGGACAAAGCAAUUACAGCCCCCAGAGACACACACGAGUGAAGCGAGUGAGGCAGAGAUAUUAGUGUUGCAGUUGUCCUUCCCUGCCCUGUCCUCUGCCUUUGUUAAUCUGC